GAAAUGCGAUAAGUAAUGGGAAUUGCAGAAUUCAGUGAAUCAUCGAAUCUUUGAACGCACCUUGCGCUCCUUGGUAUUCCUUGGAGCAUGCCUGUUUGAGUAUCAUGAAAUCUUCAAAGUAAAUCUUUUGUUAACUCAAUUGGUUUCUACUUUGGUAUUGGAGGUCUUUGCAGCUUCACACCUGCUCCUCUUUGUUCAUUAGCUGGAUCUCAGUGUUAUGCUUGGUUCCACUCGGCGUGAUAAGUUAUCUAUCGCUGAGGACACUGUAAAAGGUGGCCAAGGUAAAUGCAGAUGAACCGCUUCUAAUAGUCCAUUGACUUGGACAAUACUUUUAUGAUCUGAUAUCAAAUCAGGUAGGACUACCCGCUGAACUUAAGC
Molecule: unclassified non-coding RNA, 378 nt
Filed under: plant metagenome
Description: partial contains 5.8S ribosomal RNA, internal transcribed spacer 2, and large subunit ribosomal RNA
Rfam family: 5.8S ribosomal RNA (bases 1-105)
Source: RNAcentral